GAUGAACGCUAGCGGCAGGCCUAACACAUGCAAGUCGAGGGAGAGGUUAUCUUCGGGUAACCAAAACCGGCGCACGGGUGCGUAACGCGUAUACAAUCUGCCUUUCACAUAGGGAUAGCCCGAAGAAAUUUGGAUUAAUACCUAAUGGUAUAUAGGAGCGGCAUCGUUUUUAUAUUAAAGCUACGGUGGUGAAAGAUGAGUAUGCGUUCUAUUAGCUAGUUGGAGAGGUAACGGCUCCCCAAGGCGACGAUAGAUAGGGGUUCUGAGAGGGAUGUCCCCCACACUGGUACUGAGAUACGGACCAGACUCCUACGGGAGGCAGCAGUGAGGAAUAUUGGACAAUGGUCGGAAGACUGAUCCAGCCAUGCCGCGUGCAGGAUGAAGGUCCUAUGGAUUGUAAACUGCUUUUGUAAGGGAAGAAUAAGGAGUACGUGUACUUUGAUGACGGUACCUUACGAAUAAGCAUCGGCUAACUCCGUGCCAGCAGCCGCGGUAAUACGGAGGAUGCGAGCGUUAUCCGGAAUCAUUGGGUUUAAAGGGUCCGUAGGCGGGCUGAUAAGUCAGAGGUGAAAGCGCUUAGCUCAACUAAGCAACUGCCUUUGAAACUGUCAGUCUUGAAUGAUUGUGAAGUAGUUGGAAUGUGUAGUGUAGCGGUGAAAUGCUUAGAUAUUACACAGAACACCGAUAGCGAAGGCAUAUUACUAACAAUUUAUUGACGCUGAUGGACGAAAGCGUGGGGAGCGAAAAGGG
RNAcentral lists this ribosomal RNA (750 nucleotides) under uncultured Capnocytophaga sp. RNAcentral describes it as "bacterial SSU rRNA". It matches the Rfam family "Bacterial small subunit ribosomal RNA", at positions 28 to 777 of the family's 1533-position model. Lineage: Bacteria; Pseudomonadati; Bacteroidota; Flavobacteriia; Flavobacteriales; Flavobacteriaceae. The record is from RNAcentral.